CACACCUCCUCCAGCCCCACCCCGAGCCACAAGCUCCAUCUGCCAGAAGCGCCCCUCCCUCGAGAGAACCACUCACUCUCCGCUUUCAACCUGCUGCCACAGCACCCUUCUCUGAAGGGGCCUCAGGACGCAAGCCCAGCCCAGCCCAGCCUAAAGGGACACGGUUUUUCCCGGUCUUGCACAUAGCAGGCACUCCAAAAACGAAUGCCCUUCCGAGUGACCUGCCCGCUGGCCAGUCCUCCCCAGUCCAGAGGUAACUUCUGCUGGGAGGGGGCCGGGGCAUCAUCCCCACAGGUUUAGCUUCUUCCUGCAGUUCUACCACCAGCUUGGGGCUUUUCCAACACAAACACUGCUUUGCAGGGGCAAAGCAGGGGGUGGCUUCCUUUCUCCGCAGAGCAGUUCUCAAAGUUGCCCUUGACCCAGGCCUACAUGCAGCAGCCCCACUGGGGCUGUGUGGAUGGAUGGCUGCUUCUGCAUUUCAGGAAUUUUCAGGUUUGCCCAGGUCAGAGGUCACAGGAGGUGGGGGCCGUACACGCGUCCCUGGUGGCUGCGGGAGCGGCAUCUGCGGGCCCCGAACUCCCACCCCCCGCCGCUCCAAGGGCAAGAGGAGCGCGUGGCGGACCAAAGAGAGCCCGCGAGCGGCCGCGCGCCCACCAAUAGGUGCGGGGCUCGGAGCCGCCCAGCGCGCGCGGUCCCUCCCUCCUCCCUCCGCCCCCGCCCCCGCCGCCGCCGCCUACCCCUCCUGCCGCUCCUGACUCUGCUUCUCC
This 767-nucleotide long non-coding RNA is filed under the name Cervus hanglu yarkandensis (Yarkand deer). Its description in RNAcentral is "lncRNA (ENSCHYG00000013974.1)". Lineage: Eukaryota; Metazoa; Chordata; Mammalia; Artiodactyla; Cervidae. The record is from RNAcentral.